RNAcentral lists this ribosomal RNA (492 nucleotides) under uncultured bacterium. Its description in RNAcentral is "partial 16S ribosomal RNA". It matches the Rfam family "Bacterial small subunit ribosomal RNA", at positions 29 to 507 of the family's 1533-position model. The record is from RNAcentral.
AGUGAACGCUGGCGGUAGGCCUAACACAUGCAAGUCGAACGGCAGCACAGUAAGAGCUUGCUCUUACGGGUGGCGAGUGGCGGACGGGUGAGGAAUACAUCGGAAUCUACUUUUUCGUGGGGGAUAACGUAGGGAAACUUACGCUAAUACCGCAUACGACCUACGGGUGAAAGCAGGGGAUCUUCGGACCUUGCGCGAUUGAAUGAGCCGAUGUCGGAUUAGCUAGUUGGCGGGGUAAAGGCCCACCAAGGCGACGAUCCGUAGCUGGUCUGAGAGGAUGAUCAGCCACACUGGAACUGAGACACGGUCCAGACUCCUACGGGAGGCCGCAGUGGGGAAUAUUGGACAAUGGGCGCAAGCCUGAUCCAGCCAUACCGCGUGGGUGAAGGAGGCCUUCGGGUUGUAAAGCCCUUUUGUUGGGAAAGAAAAGCAGCAGGUUAAUACCCCGCUGUUCUGACGGUACCCAAAGAAUAAGCACCGGCUAACUUCGUG